AGCAUACAAGGCAUACGGCUCAGUAACGCGUAGUCAACCUAACCUAUGGACGGGAAUAACCUCGGGAAACUGAGAAUAAUGCCCGAUAGAACAUUAUGCCUGGAAUGGUUUAUGUUCCAAAUGAUUUAUCGCCGUAGGAUGGGACUGCGGCCUAUCAGUUUGUUGGUGAGGUAAUGGCCCACCAAGACUAUUACAGGUACGGGCUCUGAGAGGAGUAGCCCGGAGAUGGGUACUGAGACACGGACCCAGGCCCUAUGGGGCGCAGCAGGCGAGAAAACUUUGCAAUGUGCGAAAGCACGACAAGGUUAAUCCGAGUGGUUUCUGCUAAAGAAACCUUUUGUCAGUCCUAGAAACACUGAUGAAUAAGGGGUGGGCAAGUUCUGGUGUCAGCCGCCGCGGUAAAACCAGCACCUCAAGUGGUCAGGAUGAUUAUUGGGCCUAAAGCAUCCGUAGCCGGCUCUGUAAGUUUUCGGUUAAAUCUGUACGCUCAACGUACAGGCCGCCGGGAAUACUGCAGAGCUAGGGAGUGGGAGAGGUAGACGGUACUCGGUAGGAAGGGGUAAAAUCCUUUGAUCUAUUGAUGACCACCUGUGGCGAAGGCGGUCUACCAGAACACGUCCGACGGUGAGGGAUGAAAGCUGGGGGAGCAAACCGGAUUAGAUACCCGGGUAGUCCCAGCUGUAAACUAUGCAAACUCAGUGAUGCAUUGGCUUGUGGCCAAUGCAGUGCUGCAGGGAAGCCGUUAAGUUUGCCGCCUGGGAAGUACGUACGCAAGUAUGAAACUUAAAGGAAUUGGCGGGGGAGCACCACAAGGGGUGAAGCCUGCGGUUCAAUUGGAGUCAACGCCGGA
Molecule: ribosomal RNA, 850 nt
Filed under: uncultured crenarchaeote
Lineage: Archaea; Thermoproteati; Thermoproteota
Description: bacterial SSU rRNA
Rfam family: Archaeal small subunit ribosomal RNA
Source: RNAcentral